CCCAGACUCCUACGGGAGGCAGCAGUGGGGGAUAUUGCACAAUGGGGGGAACCCUGAUGCAGCGACGCCGCGUGAGUGAAGAAGUAAUUCGUUAUGUAAAGCUCUAUCAGCAGGGAAGAAUAAAUGACGGUACCUGAGUAAGAAGCCCCGGCUAACUACGUGCCAGCAGCCGCGGUAAUACGUAGGGGGCAAGCGUUAUCCGGAUUUACUGGGUGUAAAGGGAGCGUAGACGGCGCGGCAAGUCUGAAGUGAAAGGCAGGGGCUUAACCCCUGAACUGCUUUGGAAACUGCCAUGCUAGAGUGCUGGAGAGGUAAGUGGAAUUCCUAGUGUAGCGGUGAAAUGCGUAGAUAUUAGGAGGAACACCAGUGGCGAAGGCGGCUUACUGGACAGUAACUGACGUUGAGGCUCGAAAGCGUGGGGAGCAAACAGGAUUAGAUACCCUUGUA
Molecule: ribosomal RNA, 447 nt
Filed under: uncultured bacterium
Lineage: Bacteria
Description: bacterial SSU rRNA
Rfam family: Bacterial small subunit ribosomal RNA
Source: RNAcentral